Molecule: non-coding RNA, 31 nt
Filed under: Mus musculus (house mouse)
Lineage: Eukaryota; Metazoa; Chordata; Mammalia; Rodentia; Muridae
Source: RNAcentral
ACAGAGCUACAUACCACGUUUGUUUCAAAUA